AUCUUUAAAUUCUCCCCCUCCUCUCAGGGCGAAAAUCACAAAAUUCAGAGUGGAUCCAGAUCAGGUGGUUUUUCGUUUCCAGGAGGAUUCUAGUCUCCUGUUUGAAAUCAGGAACCUGGAUUUCAGGGUGGAACUUCAACAAGACAUCAAUAUUUGUUUCUUUGGAAAGUUUAAUUUGCACUCAAGUACGGUCACCUUGACAGGAUCAGACAUGAUGAGCACGAUUCAAUUGAGACUGAACCGAAAUCACAGAGGACACCUGAAUGCGGAGAACUUGAAGUGUGAAGUCAGUGGCAAUAAUGUUGAGUCAGAGGUCAACAGCAAACUGAGAAUUCCGAACUUGCUUUACCAGUGGAUCAUUACCAACAA
Molecule: long non-coding RNA, 369 nt
Organism: Clupea harengus (Atlantic herring)
Lineage: Eukaryota; Metazoa; Chordata; Actinopteri; Clupeiformes; Clupeidae
Source: RefSeq, a predicted model, not a curated record